Non-coding RNA from Pelobates cultripes (western spadefoot toad), 777 nucleotides. The record is from the annotation of a GenBank genome assembly. NCBI's taxonomy places the organism in Eukaryota, Metazoa, Chordata, Amphibia, Anura, Pelobatidae.
GUUACUGCCCAGUACAUCCCGAUACCCACUGCCCAAACCCACCACAACACAGCCAUCUAUACAAUACAUUGACAGUUACUGCCCAGUACAUCCCGAUACCCACUGCCCAAACCCACCACAACACAGCCAUCUAUACAAUACAUUGACAGUUACUGCCCAGUACAUCCCAAUACCCACUGCCCAAACGCACCACAACACAGCAGUAUUAAUUGCAGACUCAAAAGGGUGCAAGGCGGGUAUUUGGAAGGACAAUGUGGGCAAUAUUUUUAAGGAGUAAGUUACAGAAUUUGGAGACAGACUGGAUGUGAGGAGAAAGGAUGAGUCAAGAGUAACGCCGAGGCAGCAACCUUGAGGAGCUGGGGUAAUAGGGGUUCCACUGACUUGCAGAGAUUGAUGGAAGAGGACAAUUUGAGAGGGGGAAAGAUGAGGAGUUCAGUCUUAGAAAGAUUAAGCUUAGAAAGAGGUACUGAAAUCCAGAUGAGUUAAUAAGGUUACAGAGUGAGGCAGUGUAUAAUAAAAGAGAACCAAGAACAGAGCCUUGAGGAACACCAUCUUAGAGCAGCCAGCAGGAGGUGGUGGCACCAAAGAAAACGAGCAUUCAGAAAGAUAGUACAAAAACCAGGAAAGCAGAGCGUCAAGGAGUCCGAGGUUGUGGAGGGUUUGAAGAAAAGAGUGAUCAACAGUAUCAAAGACAGCUUUUAGAUUUAGCAGUGAACAAGUCGUUAGUCACAUGGUAAGAAACAAUGUCAGCCUACCACAAAUCCUCAUCGAUUAUAA